AACGAACGCUGGCGGCAGGCCUAACACAUGCAAGUCGAGCGCGCCCUUCGGGGUGAGCGGCGGACGGGUGAGUAACGCGUGGGAACGUGCCCUUUUCUACGGAAUAGCCUCGGGAAACUGAGAGUAAUACCGUAUACGCCCUUUGGGGGAAAGAUUUAUCGGAAAAGGAUCGGCCCGCGUUGGAUUAGGUAGUUGGUGGGGUAAUGGCCUACCAAGCCGACGAUCCAUAGCUGGUUUGAGAGGAUGAUCAGCCACACUGGGACUGAGACACGGCCCAGACUCCUACGGGAGGCAGCAGUGGGGAAUCUUAGACAAUGGGGGCAACCCUGAUCUAGCCAUGCCGCGUGAGUGAUGAAGGCCUUAGGGUUGUAAAGCUCUUUCAGAUGGGAAGAUAAUGACGGUACCAGCAGAAGAAGCCCCGGCUAACUCCGUG
Molecule: ribosomal RNA, 433 nt
Filed under: uncultured bacterium
Lineage: Bacteria
Description: partial 16S ribosomal RNA
Rfam family: Bacterial small subunit ribosomal RNA
Source: RNAcentral